Molecule: small nuclear RNA, 132 nt
Organism: Pelodiscus sinensis (Chinese soft-shelled turtle)
Lineage: Eukaryota; Metazoa; Chordata; Testudines; Trionychidae
Rfam family: U4 spliceosomal RNA
About the family: U4 small nuclear RNA (U4 snRNA) is a component of the major U2-dependent spliceosome. The structure of U4 snRNA from yeast and human has been reported.
Source: Rfam
AGCUUUGCGCAGUGGCAGCAUCGUAGCCAAUGAGGUUAAUUCAAGGCACGAUUAUUGCUAAUUGAAAACUCCCUCUACCAGAGCCUCUCUUUUUGAAUCUUUCUAGCUAAUUUCAGGGUACUGUACUAGAGG